AUUGAACGCUGGCGGCAGGCCUAACACAUGCAAGUCGAACGAGUGGCGGACGGGUGAGUAAUGUCUGGGAAACUGCCCGCUGGAGGGGGAUAACUACUGGAAACGGUCGCUAAUACCGCAUACCAUCGGAUGUGCCCAGAUGGGAUUAGCUAGUAGGUUGGGUAACGGCUCACCUAGGCGACGAUCCCUAGCUGGUCUGAGAGGAUGACCAGCCACACUGGAACUGAAACACGGUCCAGACUCCUACGGGAGGCAGCAGUGGGGUAUAUUGCACAAUGGGCGCAAGCCUGAUGCAGCCAUGCCGCGUGUAUGAAGAAGGCCUUCGGAUUGUAAAGUACUUUCAGCGAAGAGGGGUUACUCGCAGAAGAAACACCGGCUAACUCCGUGACAGCGGCCGCGGUAAUUC
Molecule: ribosomal RNA, 406 nt
Filed under: uncultured bacterium
Lineage: Bacteria
Description: partial 16S ribosomal RNA
Rfam family: Bacterial small subunit ribosomal RNA
Source: RNAcentral